UGGAGAAGUUGAUCCUGGCUCAGAUUGAACGCUGGCGGCAGGCCUAACACAUGCAAGUCGAGCGGAAACGAGUUAUCUGAACCUUCGGGGAACGAUAACGGCGUCGAGCGGCGGACGGGUGAGUAAUGCCUAGGAAAUUGCCCUGAUGUGGGGGAUAACCAUUGGAAACGAUGGCUAAUACCGCAUAACACCUACGGGUCAAAGAGGGGGACCUUCGGGCCUCUCGCGUCAGGAUAUGCCUAGGUGGGAUUAGCUAGUUGGUGAGGUAAUGGCUCACCAAGGCGACGAUCCCUAGCUGGUCUGAGAGGAUGAUCAGCCACACUGGAACUGAGACACGGUCCAGACUCCUACGGGAGGCAGCAGUGGGGAAUAUUGCACAAUGGGCGCAAGCCUGAUGCAGCCAUGCCGCGUGUGUGAAGAAGGCCUUCGGGUUGUAAAGCACUUUCAGUCGUGAGGAAGGUAGUGUAGUUAAUAGCUGCAUUAUUUGACGUUAGCGACAGAAGAAGCA
RNAcentral lists this ribosomal RNA (508 nucleotides) under Vibrio harveyi. RNAcentral describes it as "bacterial SSU rRNA". It matches the Rfam family "Bacterial small subunit ribosomal RNA", at positions 1 to 492 of the family's 1533-position model. Lineage: Bacteria; Pseudomonadati; Pseudomonadota; Gammaproteobacteria; Vibrionales; Vibrionaceae. The record is from RNAcentral.